AUCCUGGCUCAGGAUGAACGCUGGCGACAGGCCUAACACAUGCAAGUCGAGGGGCAGCAUGAAAUUAGCUUGCUAAUUUUGAUGGCGACCGGCGCACGGGUGAGUAACACGUAUGCAACCUGCCCGCCACAGGGGGGAUAAACGCUGGAAACGGCGCCUAAUACCCCCAUACUAUCGCUAUGCUGCAUGGCAUGGCGAUGAAAACUCCGGUGGUGGCGGAUGGGCAUGCGGCGCAUUAGCUGGUUGGGGGGGUAACGGCCCACCAAGGCGACGAUGCGUAGGGGUUCUGAGAGGAAGGUCCCCCACACUGGUACUGAGGCACGGACCAGACUCCUACGGGAGGCAGCAGUGAGGAAUAUUGGUCAAUGGGCGGGAGCCUGAACCAGCCAAGUCGCGUGAGGGAAGACGGCCCUACGGGUUGUAAACCUCUUUAGUCGGGGAGCAAAAAGGACCACGCGUGGUCCAUUGAGCGUACCCGAAGAAUAAGCAUCGGCUAACUCCGUG
RNAcentral lists this ribosomal RNA (504 nucleotides) under uncultured bacterium. RNAcentral describes it as "bacterial SSU rRNA". It matches the Rfam family "Bacterial small subunit ribosomal RNA", at positions 16 to 507 of the family's 1533-position model. The record is from RNAcentral.